Molecule: ribosomal RNA, 432 nt
Filed under: uncultured bacterium
Lineage: Bacteria
Description: partial 16S ribosomal RNA
Rfam family: Bacterial small subunit ribosomal RNA
Source: RNAcentral
AACGAACGCUGGCGGCAUGCCUAACACAUGCAAGUCGAACGAGACCUUCGGGUCUAGUGGCGCACGGGUGCGUAACGCGUGGGAACCUGCCCUUAGGUUCGGAAUAACUCCCCGAAAGGGGUGCUAAUACCGGAUAAUGUCUUCGGACCAAAGAUUUAUCGCCUUUGGGUGGGCCCGCGUUGGAUUAGCUAGUUGGUAGGGUAAAAGCCUACCAAGGCGACGAUCCAUAGCUGGUCUGAGAGGAUGAUCAGCCACACUGGGACUGAGACACGGCCCAGACUCCUACGGGGGGAAGCAGUGGGGAAUAUUGGACAGGGGGCGAAAGCCGGAUCCAGCAAUGCCCGGGAGGGGAUGAAGGCCUUGGGGUUGAAAAGCUCUUUUCCCGGGGAUGAUAAUGACGGAACCGGGGAAAAAAGCCCCGGCUAACUCCUG